GCCCGUGACCACGCCCUCUGCCAUCCGGUUCCUUGGCGGGAGCCAGCUGAGGGUGGACUGGAACCCUGGGCUGAAACAGAUCCCUCAGUGCUGCAGCCAGUGACGGGCGCGGUGACGGAGACAGCUCCCAUGCAGCCCCCAUGCAGGAGGCCCAGCCGGGAGCCGCCUCUCUGCAGACAGAAGACCCCCACCCUGGGUGCAAAGCCACGCCCGGUGCUACACGGGUGGCUCCACCUCUUCCUGCAAAGGGCGCCCGGAAGGAGGAUUGGGAAGCGCCCGGGAAGGGAGAGGCCAGGCGGGCAGCUGUAGUCCGGGCAGGCCCGGAGUGGCAUCGUGCGGAGGGCGGAGCACAGCCUCCCUCAGAGGCAAAGGCUGCGUCCCUGAGCGCCUGGCACGGCCCUGUGACCUGGGAGCGCCCCGGACUGCGGGACUUUGAUCACCUUGGUUUUGUCUUCUUUUAAUGAAGCAAUUCUAGUUGUAAAAUGGUGUUAUGGUUUCAGUUCUCAAUUUUUAGCCAGGGUUUGUUUUUUCUUUAAAACCCUCUCAAGCAACGUUUUAAUGACGGCGUCUUACAGAGUUGAAAUAUAAAAGGGUUUAGCCUCGAUGCCGGCAGAUGCAAGUACCUGUGGUCGUGGAAGGGAGGCGAGCGACACCGGACCCAGGAGAAACCGCUUCUUGCUCACACUCGCGUUUCACAGAGUGCACACCGCAAGGGCGCGUGGCGAUCCAGCUGUGGAACAGCAGCAGGAUACGGAAGAGUGAGACUGGGAAUUGAACCUCGGGCGUUUCGGGGAGGCCUCGAGUCUGCCCUCUGGUGUUUUGCUCUUGACGCUGGGUCGAUUUGGGCCCCUCUCGAGUGCGGCCUCCUGGGAGGGAGCUACGGGACAGGCGGCGGGACUGGGGAGCGAGCGGAGGCGGCAGACACAGGCGCUGGAGCUCGGCCACCAGGUCGGGGUCACGUUUACCCUCCCCGCCCGUCCGCCCUUCCCGAGUCCACCAAGCCACCUCCCGGCUGCCCCCGCCUCUUUAUUUUGCUCUUCAAAUUAUUUGUAGUCUGUGUCUGUCCACUAAGAGGUCCAGGCAGCACUUCCCCUUCUCUGGCUUAUUUCCGAGCUGGCGGGGCGGACUGUCUCGCGGAGGAAAAUGGGCCUCUGGUCUUUGGGGCUGCAGACCCAGGCUGUCCCGAUGUCCAGGGUGCGUCCGGGGGGGGAGCAGGCAGGGCCGAGGGGCCGCCCGGCCCCGGCCUUCCUCAGCGUGGAGGCCGGAACAGGGCCGUUCAUGCCAUGCCUUGGUCGACUGAGACAUGGAACUUGGGUCUCUCUCCAGAGGCACAGCAAGCAUCGGCUUAGAACUUCCCCACAAGCAGUCUACAGACCCGGUCACUGCAGCGUGGAUACCAGAAGCCCUUGGUAAAGAUGAUUUAAGCUGGCCGGGCGUGUUGGCGCACGCCUGUAAUCUCAGCACUUGGGGAGGCUGAAGCAGGAAGAUCACAAGUUCAAGCCCAGCCCGGGCAAUUUAGUGUGAGAUCCUGGAUCAAAAUUAAAACCAGGCUGAGAUAUAGCUCAGUGGCACCGUGCCUGCCUGGAAAACGUCCUGAGUUUGAUCCCCGGUACCACCAAAACAAACAAACAAACUACCCCCCACCCCCAACCCUGAAUGGAUCUCGGCCUGAAAGCCCUGAGUUCACUCCCCAGUAGAGCAGAGCAAUGAGCUGGGUGUGGUGGCACAUACACAUCUGUAAGACCACUAACCUGGAGGGCUGAGGCAGGAAGAUCGGAAGUUCAAGCCCAGAGUGAUCGAUUUAGGGACCUAGUGAGACCCUGUCAAAAAGAAAAAAAAAAUGGAGAGAAUAAUUUGGCCUGGCCAGUAGAUGGCGCCUGAGGCUUAUGAUAAUUUUCAAAACAGGGUUAGAAAUACUUUUGUUACAGCUAAUGAUUGUAAUUUAGCAUAGUAACAACAGCAAUGGCAGAGACCACCAGUUCCUUUCAAGAUGUUUGGCUCAAAAAUAAACAAAUGGAAGAGGGGGUCAGCUCUUAGAACAGCGAGCAGGAAACGCAAGUUGACUUAAAUGCAGAGAAAGAGGGUGACCCAUCAGGAGGUGACGGGAGCAGAAGGGAGGGCAACGAGGAAUCGUUGGAGCAGAGCAGCAAAAAGUCAAAUCAAAUCAAAUCAAAUCAGUCUCUCCAAAGGAUCGGGGACAGGGACAGGAGUGAGUUAGAGAGGGCCAGGGAGUAAAAGUCAAGUCCUUUUUCAGUUCUUACAGCUGCAACCGAAAUGUGAACCAGACACCAUGGGGCUCCGCAGAGAAGGUGGCAGGGAAAGGUCCAGGAAGCAGAUGCAAGGGCUGGAGGUGUGCACAGAUGCAGCCACUGUAGGGCAUGGAGGCAGGGUGGGCUGGUCCUAGAGGUCAGGGAGGACACAGGGCCAGUCCCAGCUGUAGGAGCCAGUGUGCAGAUGGGGACAGCUCUAAAGGAGAGGAAUCCGUAGCCUCAACACAGAGGGUGGAAUCAGCUUCUUCCUGCAUGGCUGAAGGCGCGUGGAUGAGGAAGUAGAUUCCCGGGCCUGCGCUCCUGAUGAAAGGACCCAGAGGAGGCAGGAGGCACAGAGGGCUCAGGGCCCCUAGCAGAGCUGCCCUGGAGGUUCUGUAACCGGAUACAGGGUAGGUUUUUUAAACCAUGAUCUUAAAAAAGGAAAUCUUGCCUCUUGGGCCCCUCCGACCACCCUUUGAGUUUCCGUGUGGUCAUCAGCCUGUGGGUGCCCUGAGGAAGGACCCUGCCAUGGGUUACUUGUGUGGUACCUUCGCUCCUUAGUGUCCCAGCGUCUGAGCAGCCUGUUCAGGCUCCCUUUGGCCUCGCUCAGCUGGAACCUCAGAGCCUGCACCGUCUCCGGAGAGGCCUCAAGCCAAGGGCUGUCUCCCGCUGUUGCAUCCCUGGUCAUUCAUCUACUUGGGGCUGAUUUAUAACACUGUGCAGCGGAGUAACCUGGAGGAAUACAGACUAGAGGCUGGUGCCUGACGUUGGGAAUGGAGAGAGAUGGAUCGAACAGGGUGCAGGAGAGGUCUGGGGUGAUGUCCUCAACGGCUCUCAUCUGGAUGAUUUGUUGUAUAUCUCUGUCAAAACACAUUAAAUCAUAUGCUUAAAUCUGUGCAGCUAUUACAUGCAGAUAGUAAGGUUGUAGGGGAAUAGAAUUGCUGUAAUGUACAGUUGCAACAAAAUUGGAACAUUGAACUAACUUUCAAAUGGUGCCAUAUGUGAUAGAAAACAAGGUACUACAGCCGGUCGGAUCUGGAGUGAGCCUGGAGGUGUUGGAGGCUUUGCCCCCACUGGCACUGCUGGGAGGUGUGUGACCUUUAGGAGGCGGAGCCUGGGGGACGUCUUCCGGUGCUGAGGAGUACCCUGGAUGGCUCCCUUCCUUUAUUCUCUUUUCACUGUCUGGUCAGGAAGUGAGCAGCUUCAGCUCUGCCGUCCACUCCCCACCGUGGUGUGCUGCUUCCGUCACAGGCCCCCAAAGCAGCAGGUCCAACUGACCAAGGACUGAACUCUCCAAAACUGAGAGCCGAAGCCAAACCUUCUUAUUUUAAGUUAUUCAU
RNAcentral lists this long non-coding RNA (3589 nucleotides) under Heterocephalus glaber (naked mole-rat). Its description in RNAcentral is "lncRNA (ENSHGLG00100052105.1)". Lineage: Eukaryota; Metazoa; Chordata; Mammalia; Rodentia; Bathyergidae. The record is from RNAcentral.